CUCGAAGCGGAAGAGAAGUACAAUAUCCUGGGAGUAGGUGGCGGCUUUUGAGAGCGAGAGAAACAGAGAGAAAUGUCCCUGGUAGACUACGCUUCUUCGUCCGACGACGACGUGUCGGAGGAUAAAGAACGAGAAGAAGAAUCGGAAGCAACAGCGAAACCCCAAAACGAACCACAAGUCCGAAAUUCAUCUCCUACAAUUCCGCCUACUAACCAGAGAUCUUCUAAGUCAUUCUCAAGUCCACACCUUUCACCGUCUUGUAUCGAGACGCUUCCAGAUGCUUCUCUUCUACUGAAUUCACCAUCAGUUUCAUUGCUCACUGCAACUGGAACCGGAACUGACCAUGCAUCUCGAGUUGCAACUGCUAUGGCAGAAAGUGCAUCACGCAAAAGAGACUCCCAUGGAUUGCCUUCCAGUUUACCCCGCUCCAAAGUACCAAAAGGGACUUUGCCACAUACAAAGAUGGUUCCAGAUACGGUUGGUGGUAUUCUAGUUCCGCCUCAACUAAGUGGAAGGAGCAACAUUGUGACAGAAGACAUCGGGAAGCUGUUUGUAAAGAGACAAGCUGAGCCCUCUUCUCACUAGAAUGUCCUAUGCGAUAGUUCUAUUUAAUGUGACAUUUUUGUAGCCUUAAAAUAUGUCUAAAAUUAUUUUUGUAGCCUUAACAUAUCUGUCUCUCAAAUUUCACUGCGCG
Molecule: unclassified non-coding RNA, 694 nt
Filed under: Hevea brasiliensis (rubber tree)
Lineage: Eukaryota; Viridiplantae; Streptophyta; Magnoliopsida; Malpighiales; Euphorbiaceae
Source: RNAcentral